CCCCUGGAUUCUGCCGCGCGAUGCGCCUACAUAGGUGUCGUCGCCUCGGCGACUAUGGUGAUAAACGCGACCUGGAAUAAUCGUUGCGGACCCGGGGGCAGUGCCCGGCGCCUCCACCAAACCCUGCCUCGGCAGGACCAUGGGGGCGAAACAGCUUCGACGCGCGUGGUAAAGAGGUCGUUUUUGCCCGGCAUUGUACCGCCGUUAUCGGGCUAAUCUCUAAGUGCGAACGACAAUAGCCGCGAGGCUUACGCACUCGCUGCCUGAAUAAGGUAAGCGCGGUUCGGGGGGCACCGGGCAACAGAAGCCCCCCACU
This 316-nucleotide transfer-messenger RNA is filed under the name Falsiroseomonas oleicola. It matches the Rfam family "Alphaproteobacteria transfer-messenger RNA". From Rfam's summary of the family: Bacterial tmRNA, also known as 10Sa RNA or SsrA, is named for its dual tRNA and mRNA-like properties. Its role is to liberate the mRNA from a stalled ribosome. To accomplish this part of the tmRNA is used as a reading frame that ends in a translation stop signal. Lineage: Bacteria; Pseudomonadati; Pseudomonadota; Alphaproteobacteria; Acetobacterales; Roseomonadaceae. The record is from RNAcentral. RNAcentral also lists the same sequence under 1 other name.